RNAcentral lists this long non-coding RNA (1972 nucleotides) under Pan troglodytes (chimpanzee). Its description in RNAcentral is "long non-coding RNA NONPTRT013612". The record is from RNAcentral. Lineage: Eukaryota; Metazoa; Chordata; Mammalia; Primates; Hominidae.
UGGCAGCAGCUCUACUAGUACAUUUUUCCUUGAUAUCAACGAAGAUACAGAGCCAGCAUUUUAUGACCGAUCUGGACCCAUAAAGGAUAAAAAUUCAUUCCCUUUCUUUGCUUCUAGUAAACUUGUGAAGAAUCGUAUCUUAAAUUCGCUUACUUUGCCUAACAAAAAACAUCGUAGUAGCAGUGAUCCAAAAGGAGGGAAAUUAUCAUCUGAAAGUAAGACAAGCAACAGGCGAAUCAGAACACUUACGGAGCCCAGUGUUGAUUUUAAUCAUAGUGAUGAUUUUACACCCAUAUCCACUGUACAGAAAACAUUACAAUUAGAGACUUCAUUUAUGGGGAAUAAGCACAUUGAAGACACUGGUAGUACACCAAGCAUUGGAGAAAAUGACUUAAAAUUCACCAAGAAUUUUGGUACAGAGAAUCACAGAGAAAAUACAAGCCGAGAGAGGUUAGUAGUAGAAAGUUCAACGAGCUCACAUAUGAAGAUACGUAGCCAAAGUUUUAAUACAGACACUACAACAAGUGGCAUAAGUUCAAUGAGCUCAAGUCCUUCACGAGAGACAGUAGGUGUAGAUGCUACAACUAUGGACACAGACUGUGGAAGCAUGAGUACUGUGGUAAGUACUAAAACUAUUAAGACAAGCCACUAUUUGACGCCACAGUCUAACCAUCUGUCUCUCUCCAAAUCAAAUUCGGUGUCCCUGGUGCCUCCAGGUUCUUCUCAUACGCUUCCUAGAAGAGCACAGUCCCUUAAAGCACCCUCUAUUGCUACAAUUAAAAGUCUAGCAGAUUGUAACUUUAGUUACACAAGUUCUAGAGAUGCUUUUGGCUAUGCUACACUGAAAAGACUACAGCAACAAAGAAUGCAUCCAUCCUUAUCUCACUCUGAAGCUUUGGCAUCUCCAGCAAAAGAUGUGCUAUUUACUGAUACCAUCACCAUGAAGGCCAACAGUUUUGAGUCCAGAUUAACACCAAGCAGGAUCGAUUUUAAAAAGAAGCAUGUCGGGGGAAUCAGGAGCUUAAGACCUACAAUAACAAACAACCUUUUCAGGUUCAUGAAAGCCUUAAGUUAUGCAUCAUUAGAUAAAGAAGAUUUAUUGAGUCCUAUUAAUCAAAAUACCCUGCAACGAUCUUCCUCAGUGCGGUCCAUGGUGUCCAGUGCCACAUAUGGGGGUUCAGAUGAUUACAUUGGUCUUGCUCUCCCGGUGGAUAUAAAUGAUAUAUUCCAGGUAAAGGAUAUUCCCUAUUUUCAGACAAAAAACAUACCACCACAUGAUGAUCGAGGUGCAAGAGCAUUUGCCCAUGAUGCAGGAGGUCUUCCAUCUGGAACUGGAGGUCUUGUAAAAAAUUCUUUUCACUUGCUACGACAGCAGAUGAGUCUUACGGAAAUAAUGAAUUCAAUCCAUUCAGAUGCCUCUCUGUUUUUAGAAAGUACAGAAGACACUGGACUACAGGAACAUACAGAUGAUAACUGCCUUUAUUGUGUCUGUAUUGAAAUUCUGGGUUUCCAGCCCAGCAACCAACUGAGUGCAAUAUGUAGUCAUUCAGACUUUCAAGAUAUUCCAUAUUCUGAUUGGUGUGAGCAGACUAUCCAUAAUCCUUUAGAAGUGGUUCCCUCUAAGUUUUCGGGGAUUUCUGGAUGCAGUGAUGGGGUGUCUCAAGAAGGCUCAGCUAGCAGCACCAAAAGCACAGAAUUGUUACUAGGUGUUAAAACAAUUCCAGAUGAUACACCAAUGUGCCGUAUACUCCUUCGCAAAGAAGUUCUAAGAUUAGUCAUUAAUUUGAGUAGUUCAGUUUCAACUAAAUGUCAUGAGACUGGGCUUUUAACGUGAGUAAACUAUGUGCAUGAGUAUUAUUUGUUUAUUCUGUUUUUUAAGUCGAGAAAAGAUACUUGAAAUACUUCAAAAGUUAGGCUAGUUAACUUACAUCAGUAGUUCUAAACUGCAUUGCAUACCUGUGUGAGGCUAGAU